AGGAGGGCAUCUUCCGCCGGGACGCUACUGCUGGGGAGGCAGUCGGAACUCAGCUUCGGAUGCUGCUGGCCUGCUGCCGUCUGCACAUCCGCUGCUGCUGUGAGGAAGAGGAAGCUAGAAACACGUGAAGGCAAGUGGAUUCUGAAUUGGUUAGAUUUAUCAUUCGUUCAGUCUAUAAGAAAUUUUCUGACUUGUGAUAUGGAAAGAACGAGAAUGAUUUAUCAAAAGUAUGGAACCUAAGUGAAAAGGUUAACUUCAAUCUUAGCUUCUGCAAUGCCUCUAUUUACGAAUUGGGAUCAGAUGUCUACUUAACCACUUGCUUAUAUGAUUCACAGAUUACAAAACUGUUGCUGAUACUUUGAUUCAGUUAAGCUGGCAGUGUUUCAACUUUCAAGUUCAAAAUAAUAUCUUAGAACCGUUUUCUGGAAUGAUAAAAAUGGUGUAGCAGUUCACAUGGCAGGUUACUUUAAUUAGCAGUUCACAGUAGCAGUUCAACCCUCAAUUUUUUCUUGCAUUAUCUGUACUCAUCUGUGAAAAUUGCAUUAUCUGUACUCAUCUAAGAACUUGAAGAAUGCGAAUUGAAAGAAUGCAGAAACGAGAGAAGCUUUUAAGUCCUAUUCACGUUAAAUCAGAUUAGUCCUAUCCUAUAAAAUCAGAGAAAAGCUCCAAGGCCUAUUCAUGUAUGUCUCUUCUUUUUGCAGGUAACUGAGUCAUCACAUUUCGGCUUUUACCAAGAUGACAUUUACGGCAACCGCAAUGACAUUGACACUGGCAUGAGUCGAAGCAGCAUGAUGACCAUACUUUUGAGAUCCUUUGGUUCAAAGUGAACUGAUGCAACACUACUUUUGGUUGUAACAUCAUCGAUGCUAACCUUUUGGGUACAUUAUUGUUGGACAAUUUGUACGAUCAAUGCUGCAGAUUCUGUUUAGCAUCUAUAUAUGUGCUUACUACAUGCAAGGAUGUUUGCUGCAAUGUUAUUUGGAUAAUAUAUGUGUGGGGAUGUGUGAUGGAGUGAUACACCAUAUUUAUGUAUGGAUGUGUGCUGGAUUAAGAUCUAAUAUUUUGUGUGCUUUCUUGGUGGCAUGAACUCUCAUGAAUUUUUUUCAUGGUGGCACCAACUCUCAUGGAAAUGAUGGUACUGUUUUCGUGAUGGUAUAAAUGCUCAUGAAAA
RNAcentral lists this long non-coding RNA (1171 nucleotides) under Panicum hallii. Its description in RNAcentral is "long non-coding RNA (PHAL_LNC000881)". Lineage: Eukaryota; Viridiplantae; Streptophyta; Magnoliopsida; Poales; Poaceae. The record is from RNAcentral.